RNAcentral lists this small nuclear RNA (292 nucleotides) under Jaculus jaculus (lesser Egyptian jerboa). Its description in RNAcentral is "7SK RNA (ENSJJAG00000002481.1)". It matches the Rfam family "7SK RNA". From Rfam's summary of the family: 7SK was discovered as an abundant small nuclear RNA in the mid-70s but a possible function has only recently been suggested. Two independent studies have found that 7SK RNA binds the CDK9/cyclin T complex (known as elongation factor P-TEFb). P-TEFb activates transcription by phosphorylating the C-terminal domain of RNA polymerase II. The record is from Rfam by way of RNAcentral. Lineage: Eukaryota; Metazoa; Chordata; Mammalia; Rodentia; Dipodidae.
GGAUGUGAAGGCAAUGUUGGAGCAACAUCUGUCACCUCACCUCAUCAAUGGCCGGGGUUGAUUUGGCUGACCUGACUGGCUAGGUGGGUGUCGCUUCCUCCUUCACUGCUCCUUGCACAUUCCUGCUGAAGCUAUCUGCUCCUGAAAGAGGAGUUCUGUUCUUUGAUCAAGGAUAUACAAGUGCUUCUCUGUUGGAAUCCCCAAACAGACUCUCAAUGAAUGAACUAGAAGCUUAAAACUAGAUACUGAAGAAUCCACCUGGUUCCUUAGGCUUCGCAGGCAAGUGCCUUAA